CGGGUGAGUAACACGUGGAUAACCUACCUAUAAGACUGGGAUAACUUCGGGAAGCCGGAGCUAAUACCGGAUAAUAUAUUGAACCGCAUGGUUCAAUAGUGAAAGACGGUUUUGCUGUCACUUAUAGAUGGAUCCGCGCUGCAUUAGCUAGUUGGUAAGGUAACGGCUUACCAAGGCAACGAUGCGUAGCCGACCUGAGAGGGUGAUCGGCCACACUGGAACUGAGACACGGUCCAGACUCCUACGGGAGGCAGCAGUC
RNAcentral lists this ribosomal RNA (259 nucleotides) under uncultured Staphylococcus sp. RNAcentral's name for it is "partial 16S ribosomal RNA". It matches the Rfam family "Bacterial small subunit ribosomal RNA", at positions 103 to 355 of the family's 1533-position model. Lineage: Bacteria; Bacillati; Bacillota; Bacilli; Caryophanales; Staphylococcaceae. The record is from RNAcentral.